GGUUAAGCGACUAAGCGUACACGGUGGAUGCCCUGGCAGUCAGAGGCGAUGAAGGACGUGCUAAUCUGCGAUAAGCGUCGGUAAGGUGAUAUGAACCGUUAUAACCGGCGAUUUCCGAAUGGGGAAACCCAGUGUGUUUCGACACACUAUCAUUAACUGAAUCCAUAGGUUAAUGAGGCGAACCGGGGGAACUGAAACAUCUAAGUACCCCGAGGAAAAGAAAUCAACCGAGAUUCCCCCAGUAGCGGCGAGCGAACGGGGAGGAGCCCAGAGCCUGAAUCAGUGUGUGUGUUAGUGGAAGCGUCUGGAAAGGCGCGCGAUACAGGGUGACAGCCCCGUACACAAAAAUGCACAUACUGUGAGCUCGAUGAGUAGGGCGGGACACGUGGUAUCCUGUCUGAAUAUGGGGGGACCAUCCUCCAAGGCUAAAUACUCCUGACUGACCGAUAGUGAACCAGUACCGUGAGGGAAAGGCGAAAAGAACCCCGGCGAGGGGAGUGAAAAAGAACCUGAAACCGUGUACGUACAAGCAGUGGGAGCCUCUUUUAUGGGGUGACUGCGUACCUUUUGUAUAAUGGGUCAGCGACUUAUAUUCUGUAGCAAGGUUAACCGAAUAGGGGAGCCGAAGGGAAACCGAGUCUUAACUGGGCGUUAAGUUGCAGGGUAUAGACCCGAAACCCGGUGAUCUAGCCAUGGGCAGGUUGAAGGUUGGGUAACACUAACUGGAGGACCGAACCGACUAAUGUUGAAAAAUUAGCGGAUGACUUGUGGCUGGGGGUGAAAGGCCAAUCAAACCGGGAGAUAGCUGGUUCUCCCCGAAAGCUAUUUAGGUAGCGCCUCGUGAAUUCAUCUCCGGGGGUAGAGCACUGUUUCGGCAAGGGGGUCAUCCCGACUUACCAACCCGAUGCAAACUGCGAAUACCGGAGAAUGUUAUCACGGGAGACACACGGCGGGUGCUAACGUCCGUCGUGAAGAGGGAAACAACCCAGACCGCCAGCUAAGGUCCCAAAGUCAUGGUUAAGUGGGAAACGAUGUGGGAAGGCCCAGACAGCCAGGAUGUUGGCUUAGAAGCAGCCAUCAUUUAAAGAAAGCGUAAUAGCUCACUGGUCGAGUCGGCCUGCGCGGAAGAUGUAACGGGGCUAAACCAUGCACCGAAGCUGCGGCAGCGACGCUUAUGCGUUGUUGGGUAGGGGAGCGUUCUGUAAGC
Molecule: ribosomal RNA, 1207 nt
Filed under: Escherichia coli
Lineage: Bacteria; Pseudomonadati; Pseudomonadota; Gammaproteobacteria; Enterobacterales; Enterobacteriaceae
Description: partial 23S ribosomal RNA
Rfam family: Bacterial large subunit ribosomal RNA
Source: RNAcentral